GACGUCGAAAGAAAUAGUAGAUUCCUUACCAAAACCUUAAUAUUUUCUCUUUCAUCGUUUUCCUUUCUUUCUCUUCUUCUCUCACUAGACUACUAUCUAUCUCUCUCUUUAAAUCUUUAAAAAAUUGAAGAAUGGGAGUGUGGAGAGGAAAGGAACGGGAAGGGCAACUUAUAGAGUUUUAAAACAUCGCGUCACAGGAGAACCUAACCCUAGCCGCCCAACCCAUGCCAGAGAAGAAGAACCAUACACUGGAGAAAGAGGCCGAUCCCCGGCUACCGCUGCACUGAAGCCACUGCUGAUCGCAAAAAAAU
This 311-nucleotide long non-coding RNA is filed under the name Carica papaya (papaya). RNAcentral's name for it is "long non-coding RNA (CPAP_LNC015391)". The record is from RNAcentral. Lineage: Eukaryota; Viridiplantae; Streptophyta; Magnoliopsida; Brassicales; Caricaceae.